AUUGAACGCUGGCGGCAUGCCUUACACAUGCAAGUCGAACGGUAACAGGUUAAGCUGACGAGUGGCGAACGGGUGAGUAAUGUAUCGGAACGUGCCCAGUCGUGGGGGAUAACUGCUCGAAAGAUCAGCUAAUACCGCAUACGACCUGAGGGUGAAAGCGGGGGAUCGCAAGACCUCGCGCGAUUGGAGCGGCCGAUAUCAGAUUAGGUAGUUGGUGAGGUAAAGGCUCACCAAGCCGACGAUCUGUAGCUGGCCUGAGAGGACGACCAGCCACACUGGGACUGAGACACGGCCCAGACUCCUACGGGAGGCAGCAGUGGGGAAUUUUGGACAAUGGGCGCAAGCCUGAUCCAGCCAUGCCGCGUGCGGGAAGAAGGCCUUCGGGUUGUAAACCGCUUUUGUCAGGGAAGAAAAGGUUCUGGCUAAUACCUGGGACUCAUGACGGUACCUGAAGAAUAAGCACCGGCUAACUACGUG
Molecule: ribosomal RNA, 477 nt
Filed under: uncultured bacterium
Lineage: Bacteria
Description: partial 16S ribosomal RNA
Rfam family: Bacterial small subunit ribosomal RNA
Source: RNAcentral